AGCCAUGGUGAAUUCAUAUCUGGGGUGGAGU
Molecule: non-coding RNA, 31 nt
Filed under: Rattus norvegicus (Norway rat)
Lineage: Eukaryota; Metazoa; Chordata; Mammalia; Rodentia; Muridae
Source: RNAcentral